UGUAGGGUAUCUCUCUCAAUCUUCCAAUUCUUAGGAGAUCGGAGGCAGAAGCUGGUGGCAUUUCACCGCCUGGCUACAGUGUACUACUCCCUGAACAUGUAUGAGAUGGCUGAGGACUGCUACCUGAAGACCCUGUCCCUCUGUCCACCCUGGCUGCAGAGUCCCAAGGAGGCCCUGUACUAUGCCAAGGUGUAUUAUCGCCUGGGCCGACUCACCUUCUGCCAGCUGAAGGGCAGUUGCAGGCUGGCCCAGGGCAGACCCAACGGAGGGCAAUGGUCCUUAGAGCUAUGGCCACCCUGAUGUGGAUGCCUGGUGA
This 316-nucleotide small RNA is filed under the name Pongo abelii (Sumatran orangutan). Its description in RNAcentral is "processed transcript". The record is from RNAcentral. Lineage: Eukaryota; Metazoa; Chordata; Mammalia; Primates; Hominidae.